UAGUUGGAUUUCUGUUGAGGACGGCCGGUCCGCACUAUGUGCGUGUAUCUGGUUCGGCCUCGGCAUCCUCUUGAAGGAACGUUUCUGCGCUUGAUUGCGUGGAGCGGUAUUCAAGACUUUUACUUUGAGGAAAUUAGAGUGUUCACGGCAGGCAAGUGCCUGAAUAUGUUAGCAUGGAAUAAUAAUAUAGGAUCUUGGUUCUAUUUGUUGGUUUCUAGGGCUAAGGUAAUGAUUAAUAGGGAUAAUUGGGGGCAUUUGUAUUAACGCGUCAGAGGUGGAAUUCUUGGAUUGCGUUACGACAAACUACUGCGAAAGCAUUUGCCAAGGAUGUUUUCAUUGAUCAAGGA
RNAcentral lists this ribosomal RNA (347 nucleotides) under uncultured marine eukaryote. RNAcentral describes it as "SSU rRNA". It matches the Rfam family "Eukaryotic small subunit ribosomal RNA", at positions 631 to 983 of the family's 1831-position model. The record is from RNAcentral.